GGAGGGGGGGAGGGGUUCUACCAUUUUUUCUUCCCGCAUCGGAGGAGUAAGCUGGUUCUGUCCCGAGAACAUCUCUACAAGGUAAUUGGUGUGGAGAAGAUUGACCUCAGCCUUGCUUUGAACAUUGUUCCAAAGGCUCUGUAGUAAAUGUUUAAGCGCAUAACAACCCUGCCCCUCCAAUCAAGAUUUCUCUCUCAGCUGGAUCUGCUAUCUGACAAACUUCUGAAGGUUUUUGAGAAUAGAGGAGGACAGAUAGGCCAGCGUCUGAACUGUAUUAUGUCAAACAUGACUCAAGUUGAUGAUGUCGAUUUAGGCCGGGAUUGUCUUCUCAAGGGGAUGUGUGUGCACCUCAAUCAGAGAGUUUGUGGCAGAAGAUGAAGACAUCAUUCUGCGGUCCAUUCAGGGGAUUACAGUGGGACUUUAUGUUGUCAAACACAAUUCCACCAUGAGACCAGAGGACAGAUUGUCCUGGAAGGCCAACAGGUAGUCUACUAACUGAUGUGGAAAACAUUGCAUUAGCUGCUACCAUGCUG
Notothenia coriiceps (black rockcod) is the source of this 533-nucleotide long non-coding RNA. RefSeq lists it as uncharacterized. NCBI's taxonomy places the organism in Eukaryota, Metazoa, Chordata, Actinopteri, Perciformes, Nototheniidae. The record is from RefSeq and is a predicted model, not a curated record. The transcript is spliced from 5 exons.